This 840-nucleotide ribosomal RNA is filed under the name Escherichia coli. Its description in RNAcentral is "partial 23S ribosomal RNA". It matches the Rfam family "Bacterial large subunit ribosomal RNA", at positions 911 to 1751 of the family's 2925-position model. The record is from RNAcentral. Lineage: Bacteria; Pseudomonadati; Pseudomonadota; Gammaproteobacteria; Enterobacterales; Enterobacteriaceae.
UGUUUCGGCAAGGGGGUCAUCCCGACUUACCAACCCGAUGCAAACUGCGAAUACCGGAGAAUGUUAUCACGGGAGACACACGGCGGGUGCUAACGUCCGUCGUGAAGAGGGAAACAACCCAGACCGCCAGCUAAGGUCCCAAAGUCAUGGUUAAGUGGGAAACGAUGUGGGAAGGCCCAGACAGCCAGGAUGUUGGCUUAGAAGCAGCCAUCAUUUAAAGAAAGCGUAAUAGCUCACUGGUCGAGUCGGCCUGCGCGGAAGAUGUAACGGGGCUAAACCAUGCACCGAAGCUGCGGCAGCGACACUAUGUGUUGUUGGGUAGGGGAGCGUUCUGUAAGCCUGUGAAGGUGUGCUGUGAGGCAUGCUGGAGGUAUCAGAAGUGCGAAUGCUGACAUAAGUAACGAUAAAGCGGGUGAAAAGCCCGCUCGCCGGAAGACCAAGGGUUCCUGUCCAACGUUAAUCGGGGCAGGGUGAGUCGACCCCUAAGGCGAGGCCGAAAGGCGUAGUCGAUGGGAAACAGGUUAAUAUUCCUGUACUUGGUGUUACUGCGAAGGGGGGACGGAGAAGGCUAUGUUGGCCGGGCGACGGUUGUCCCGGUUUAAGCGUGUAGGCUGGUUUUCCAGGCAAAUCCGGAAAAUCAAGGCUGAGGCGUGAUGACGAGGCACUACGGUGCUGAAGCAACAAAUGCCCUGCUUCCAGGAAAAGCCUCUAAGCAUCAGGUAACAUCAAAUCGUACCCCAAACCGACACAGGUGGUCAGGUAGAGAAUACCAAGGCGCUUGAGAGAACUCGGGUGAAGGAACUAGGCAAAAUGGUGCCGUAACUUCGGGAGAAGGCACGC